CAAGCUCUUUCGGCACUCACAUUGGAUACUGAUGUUGUAGAUACUGACUGGGUUGCAGACUCUGGUGCAUCGAAUCAUAUGACAGGAUCGACAGACGGGACAGGUACUGCUACAAGGGCCACGGAAAAAUAACCUUUAUAUCUUGUCAGGGAAUCCGAAAGCAUAUUUUUCCAAUCGAUUUAGAUCUGGAACAGCAGACAUAUGGCAUCAACGAUUAGGACACCCUCAACCUUCUGCGAUUUCUAUUUUGUUUAAUAAGAACCUUAUUGAUGUUAAAGGUUCCUUGCAUUCUAAAUUUUUAUGUGAUAGCUGCCAAUUAGGCAAAUUGAGCAAAUUUCCAUUUAGUUUGUCUUCCAAUAAAAGUACCACUGUAUUUGAAAAAGUUCAUUGUGAUUUAUGGGGACCAGCCCCUGUUUUAUCUUUUGCCAAA
Long non-coding RNA from Hevea brasiliensis (rubber tree), 430 nucleotides. RefSeq lists it as uncharacterized. Lineage: Eukaryota; Viridiplantae; Streptophyta; Magnoliopsida; Malpighiales; Euphorbiaceae. The record is from RefSeq and is a predicted model, not a curated record. The transcript has 2 exons.